RNAcentral lists this long non-coding RNA (936 nucleotides) under Ananas comosus (pineapple). RNAcentral describes it as "long non-coding RNA (ACOM_LNC022560)". The record is from RNAcentral. Lineage: Eukaryota; Viridiplantae; Streptophyta; Magnoliopsida; Poales; Bromeliaceae.
CACACACUUAUGACCCAAAACUACAUUACUUGCCUUUUUAAAUAUUUUAAUUAGACUAAAAAAAAUCCAUAUAAAUAAUCAUUUUAUUACUUCCUCUCCCUUUCUCUUCCUGACUUUCAAAAAUCUAUAUUUCAUACUUUUAAAAUUUCAAAAAUAUUUUUAAAAAAUUAUGGUAUAAAUAAAAAGAGUGAAUAACCAAUUACCAAAUUAUCCUUACUUGUCCUGUAAAAAAAUAAAAUUUUUUAAUAUAUUUCUGUUAUUUUUAAAAAUAUUUCAAUAUAAAUUAUUGGAAAUGAACGGAAUUGAAAUGAAAUUCCGACGGAAGAGGGCUAAAUACAUCAACUUAAAAUUUAAAAAGAAUAAAAUAUAAAUUUUUAAAAGCUAAGAAGAAAAAAUAAAAUAGAGAAAAUAAUUUUUUUUUAUUUUUUACGCAUGGAAUGAUCAAAAUCGAUAUCCCACAAAACAAUUGUACGAAUACCUAAAAUUUUAUCCGAAUCUAAAUUUGAAUAAGAACAUAAUAAAUUUAUUCGAUGCUAAACGGAUAUGGUAUCGAAUAUUAAAAUAGAAAACGAAAACCCAGCUGAUUAAAAUUCGAAUAUAAAUUUUAUCUAUAUUGGACACCGACCUGGACCCAAGUCGAAUUGAUUUUACAUUAUAUAUAAUGUAUAUAUAUAAAUAUUUAUUAUUAUAUUUAAAUUUAUAUUUUAAAAUUUUAAAUUUAAUCCAAUAUGUUUCGAUAUAUAGUAAAGAGAAACAAUUGUUAUGGAAUUAAAUUUUCGGAUUUGGAUUCAGAUUCAGAUUUUAAAUUUUGAAUUUUUAGCUGAAUUCCGAUUUGGAUACGAAUUUUUAAAAUUCGUGGGAUUUGUGUUCGAGUUUCGGAUUUGUAGUGGGGUACGAAUUCGAUUUUGAAAAUUAGCCUCGAAUUUGAUCCGUCGA